GGUACUAUGGCUUAGAUGGCAAAGCGCCUGCCUUGUAAGCAGGAGAUCACGAGUUCGAGUCUCGUUGGGACCU
This 73-nucleotide transfer RNA is filed under the name Daphnia pulex (common water flea). RNAcentral's name for it is "tRNA-Thr". It matches the Rfam family "tRNA". Rfam says of the family: Transfer RNA (tRNA) molecules are approximately 80 nucleotides in length. Lineage: Eukaryota; Metazoa; Arthropoda; Branchiopoda; Diplostraca; Daphniidae. The record is from RNAcentral.